This 484-nucleotide ribosomal RNA is filed under the name uncultured bacterium. RNAcentral describes it as "partial 16S ribosomal RNA". It matches the Rfam family "Bacterial small subunit ribosomal RNA", at positions 30 to 507 of the family's 1533-position model. The record is from RNAcentral.
AUUGAACGCUGGCGGCAGGCCUAACACAUGCAAGUCGAGCGGAUGAAGGGAGCUUGCUCCUGGAUUCAGCGGCGGACGGGUGAGUAAUGCCUAGGAAUCUGCCUGGUAGUGGGGGAUAACGUCCGGAAACGGGCGCUAAUACCGCAUACGUCCUGAGGGAGAAAGUGGGGGAUCUUCGGACCUCACGCUAUCAGAUGAGCCUAGGUCGGAUUAGCUAGUUGGUGGGGUAAAGGCCUACCAAGGCGACGAUCCGUAACUGGUCUGAGAGGAUGAUCAGUCACCCUGGAACUGAGACACGGUCCAGACUCCUACGGGAGGCAGCAGUGGGGAAUAUUAGACAAUGGGCGAAAGCCUGAUCCAGCCAUGCCGCGUGUGUGAAGAAGGUCUUCGGAUUGUAAAGCACUUUAAGUUGGGAGGAAGGGCAGUAAGUUAAUACCUUGCUGUUUUGACGUUACCAACAGAAUAAGCACCGGCUAACUUCGUG